This is a long non-coding RNA of Esox lucius (northern pike), 1238 nucleotides long. RefSeq lists it as uncharacterized. The transcript has 2 exons. NCBI's taxonomy places the organism in Eukaryota, Metazoa, Chordata, Actinopteri, Esociformes, Esocidae. The record is from RefSeq and is a predicted model, not a curated record.
CCUACCCCUCCCCUCUUCAUACUAGACAAGUGGAAUGCACUGGUGCCGGCGUCUUCCAAGCUCACUCCCGCCCGCUGCUGUCGGAAAACAAACUGGCCAGCACUGAUUAAGAACAGCCUGUACCACAAGGAACAAUGGACAACUUCUCUUUGAGGACCAAGCGUCGUAAAAUUAAGGCUAAAGUCCAAGAGCACUUAAGGAUUGUAGAAAUGGAAACUGAAGACGUUAACAUCCAAAUAUGCCAUGACGAUGAAACAACUCUUUCUUUUAAAACAAACACGGAUUACGUUGACAGUGAAACAAACAUGGCAGACAUUGACAGUGAAACAAACAUAGAGGAUUUAGACUUUGAAACAAACAUGGCAGAUGUUGACAGUGAAACAAACCUGUAGUAUUUACACUUUGAAACGAACAUAGCAGAGUUUGACCUUGAAAUGAACAUGGAUGGCGAAACAAACUAUGAAUCCAGUGACAGCAAUGACUGCUUUAAUUAUUCGGACUCAAAGUUAAAGAGAAGUUGGCUGAUUGGGCAGCAAGUUGUAUAAUAAGUGAUCUCCCAGACUCUAAUGUGUUAAUAAUUGGUCUAUAUUCUGGGGGAACAAAACUCUGCUCAGUACAAGAAUAUUUAAGUGAAUUUAGUCAAGAUUGAGGUAUAGAAGUACUGUUGAACGUGCAAUGCUGAUCUCCUACCAUAGUGUAAAUAAUUUGAUGAGCAAAGCAUAAUGCAACCCAGGAAAAAUUGUGAAAAGGGCUCAUCUAACUUGAUUUCAGGUGGACUGAAGAACAACUCUGACACCACACAUAAACAAGAAGGAUGCUGAGCGAUCCAUCUCUAAAUGGUUUUGUGGCGCUCGUGACAGGGAGGCAAUAGAGCACUAAGGGCACAGAGGAAUCUUGAGAAACGCUUGUCAUUGGGUUAAGAUUCACAGAAAUGCUAUUCAGAGUGACUAGGUUAUGGUCAUUGGUUAGUGUGAAGUGUUCCACAGAAUGUGACCUGUUUGGAAUGUCAAGAAAACGUAGAGGCGAUCUGUAUGGUGUACAGAGUAAGAACUGUUGUUUAGCUGUUUUCACAUGGAAUGUGUUUGGUUAAUUAAAACUAUGUAUACACACAUUGGAACUGUGCCAGUUCUUCAGAUUUUGUUUUUGGUAUUGCAUGUUAAAGGUAACUUCAAACUUCUCAAAGGUUUCAAGGAAUUAUGCUCAUUGAUGACAUACUUAAAUAUAAAUUGUCUAAUGCA